This is an RNA transcript of Ziziphus jujuba (common jujube), 3139 nucleotides long. RefSeq lists it as uncharacterized. The record is from RefSeq and is a predicted model, not a curated record. NCBI's taxonomy places the organism in Eukaryota, Viridiplantae, Streptophyta, Magnoliopsida, Rosales, Rhamnaceae. The transcript has 5 exons.
CGAAUACAAGAGGGGAAGAGUUUGAUUACUACAUUAAAAGGGAACAAAGACAUUACAAUCUAAACCGAAUAUGCAGAAAUACACUUUAAAAUUAUUGUAAGCCUAUUAAGCCCUGAGUCUGAUUCCCAAACAGCUGCAAAACCAGAUCAUGAUCGAUUUUUUAUAACUAUAUAGCAACAUCAGUUACAAUUUUCCAUAUUAUUCAUUUUGCCUUACAGCCAAAAAAAAAUUAAAAAAAAAGCCUAAUUUGCAUCCUUGUUUGGCAACCAUGAAACACAUCAGCACUUUCAUUAACGGAAAGUCUUUCUUCAUAUUUCUGUGUGGAAUUCUGUUUCUCACCAAACUCAGUUUCUGCAUUGGUGACCUUGAUGUAGCAUGAAUAGAUGCUGAGAAGAAAGCGGUUGUCAAGUUCAAGGAAGGCCUAACAGAUCCUUCUGGCAGGCUUUCAUCAUGGGUGGGAGAUAAUUGUUGUAGAUGGGAGGGAGUAAGUUGCAACAACAGAACUGGACAUGUGGUCGAGCUCAAUCUUCGCUGCCCCUACUCAGAAAGUUUGGAUGGUGAUGGAACAGUGCAAACUUUGAGUGGUAAGAUUGAUCCAUCUCUGCUAGUUUUGAAAUAUCUAAAUCACUUGGACUUGAGCAUGAAUGAUUUUGGAGGUUCCCAAACUCCCUCUUUCAUUGGAUCAUUACAGAGUUUGAGAUAUCUCAAUCUUUCUGGUGCAUCUUUUGGUGGAACUAUUCCACCAAGUCUUGGAAACCUAUCGAGAAUGACAUAUCUUGAUCUCAAUAACGUUGAUCAGUUUGAGUUAACCAAAAGUAGCCUCUACUGGCUUUCCGGUCUUUCUUCUUUAAAAUACCUUCAUUUAGGAGGUUGGGACAUGUCCAUGUCUGCAACACAUUGGCUCCAAAUUGUUAACAGACUUCCAUCACUCCUGGAAUUGCACUUUCCCUUCUGUCAACUUUCCAACCUUCCUUUCACUCUUCCUUCUCUUAAUUUCACCUCUCUUAUGGUGCUUGAUCUCUCAAACAAUGGAUUCAACUCUGCAAUACCAGACUGGUUGUUCAAUCUCAAACGCCUAGUUUACCUUGACCUUAACUCCAACAACUUAUAUGGGCCACUUCCAGAUAAAAUUGCUAAUUUGGCUUCUCUUGAAAACCAUGACUUUUCACUGAAUUCCAUUGAGGGUCAGCUGUCAAAAAAAUGGGGAAAGUUAUGCAAUUUGCAGAGUCUGAAGCUUUCACAAAAUAAAAUUACAGGUGAAAUAACUAAUGUUUUUGAUACUUUGUCCACGUGCUCCAGAAGCAAAUUAGAGACAUUGAAUUUGGGGUACAAUGAGCUGGAAAUCUACCGAACUCUUUAGGAUAUCUAAAGAGUUUAAGGCACUUUCAAAUGCCAUAUAACUUAUUUCAAGGCUCACUUCCAGGCUCAAUUGGAAACUUGUCAGCUUUGGAACAAAUUUCAUUAUCCAAUAAUAAACUGACUGGUAUCCCAAAGAGUCUUGGACAGCUCUCAAAGCUGACUGUAUUAGACAUCUCAGAGAACAUGUGGGAAGGGGUCAUAACUGAAACUCAUCUCGCUAAUCUUUCAAGCUUGAAGGAGUUGACAAUGGAUAAAGCAUCCCCAAAUAUUUCUUUGGUCUUUGACAUUAGCUCUGAUUGGAUAACUCCUUUUAAAGUCACCUACCUCCUCAUCAGAUCAAGCCGAGUAGGUCCCAAAUUUCCUACAUGGCUUAAGAAUCAAAGUGAUCUGUCCUAUGGUACUCAACAAUGCAAUGAUUUCAGACACCAUACCAAACUAGUUUCUGAAUUUGAAUUUGCAGCUUGAUAGACUUGACAUAGCUUAUAAUCAACUAAGUGGCAGGGUGCCAAACUCAUUCAGAUUCAACAAAGAGAGCACUGCCAAAUUGACUACAAACAGAUUUCAGGGUCCUCUUCCACUUUGGUCAUCAAACGUUACCGAGUUGUAUCUUGGGACAAUAAGUUUUCGGGGCCAAUUUCUCCCAGCAUUGGUGAAGCAAUGCCUUUGCUAACAGAUUUAGAUGUCUCUUACAACUCUUUGAGUGGAAGCAUACCCUUGUCCAUUGGAAAUAUAACCGGAUUGAUGAACUUGGUUAUCUCCAACAAUGAAUUAUCAGACAAUGUAGACUUGGGAACAGCAUGUGGAAAAUAUUGAAUUUGAAAAUUGGUGAAGUGAUAAAUGAAUGAAGAAUGCACUGGCAGUGAAUGAUCAGUCAUGCGGGCUCAGCGGGACAUUGAAACAAGAAACGAGGAGUGCUGGUCGUUGUUGCCAUUCUGCAGUGGUUUCUGUUGGUGUUGUUCUGUUUUUCAUCUUUCUAUAAGUCUUGUUUAAUUAAAGUUUGCUAGUGUGAGUAGUUUUGUUAACAUUGCAUAUUUGAACUAUGUUUUUGUUAAGUGGUUUCUGUUAUGAAGAAGAAAAAGGAUUCAAGAAACAAAGUUAUGUUUGUGUUAGCAAUCUAUAUCUGUUUUUGUUUGAUUAGAAGGAUCCAGCUAAUGUAGAAAAGUAAAAGAAUGUUAAUUUGAUUAGAAAUGCUAUUUGUUAUGCUUUACUGCAUAUUUGGGCUUGUUAUGUCAGAUAAUUUGUCUAAAACGUGAUAAAAAAUGUGUGAUAAAGAUACAUUGGGAGACCCCGAAAAUGCUGGAUGCUCCAGUGUUUGGAUGUGUGCUUACUGCAGAAGGUGGGACACUCACUUUCAUGGUUUGAUGCUCCUGAUCCUUUCAAAAUUAAAGUAUUUUAUUCAAUUUAUGUUGUCUUGGUAGUACUCAACUUAUGGUUAAAAAAAAAAAAAAAAAACUGCAAUAUGUAUGCAGGUUGGUGGCCUGAGAAGCUUAUUUGGCUGCAAACCACUAUUACUUUCUAUGGGCAAGAGCACAGUAUAUUGUGGUGUAGCAGGAAAUGGUUCGGUUCUCAACCAUGGAAAGGCUAAAGAGCUGAACCUUGUUGCUAGUGCGGCCAAAGGUGUUGGUCUUAAAUGUCCUGUGACAUUCCAUAGACAAACAAUGUAAAUUCCUUUACCUACUUGACUCAAAAUUCUGAAACUAAUAUUCUCAUAAUCAAUAAAUUUUGGAUAAAUAUGUGAUACGAAUCUAGGACGAUCUGCUCCUAAACUCGUAUUAUAUUA